RNAcentral lists this non-coding RNA (36 nucleotides) under Trypanosoma vivax. The record is from RNAcentral. Lineage: Eukaryota; Euglenozoa; Kinetoplastea; Trypanosomatida; Trypanosomatidae.
UAUAACAUACAAUAUAAACGGCAAUGUCAUAUCAUA